UGAGUACGAGCUGCUACGGCAGCGAAGUGGGUGAUGUCAAGCUUCCAAGAAAAGCCCUAUACCCGUUAAGGCAUGAUGGCCUGUACCCGAAACCGACACAGGUGGGGUGGUAGAGAAUACCGAGGGGCGCGAGAUAACUCUCUCUAAGGAACUCGGCAAAAUGGCCCCGUAACUUCGGGAGAAGGGGUGCCACCGCAAGGUGGUCGCAGUGAAGAGGCCCAGGCGACUGUUUACCAAAAACACAGGUCUCCGCUAAGUCGCAAGACGAUGUAUGGGGGCUGACGCCUGCCCAGUGCCGGAAGGUUAAGGAAGCUGGUCAGCGUAAGCGAAGCUAGCGACUGAAGCCCCGGUGAACGGCGGCCGUAACUAUAACGGUCCUAAGGUAGCGAAAUUCCUUGUCGGGUAAGUUCCGACCCGCACGAAAGGCGUAACGAUCUGGGCGCUGUCUCGGAGAGAGGCUCGGCGAAAUAGAAUUGUCUGUGAAGAUGCGGACUACGUGCACCCGGACAGAAAGACCCUAUGAAGCUUUACUGUAGCUUGGUAUUGUGCCCGGGCUCUGAAUGCGCAGGAUAGGUGGGAGGCUUUGAUCCAUUGCUUGUGGGUGAUGGUGAGCCAACGGUGAGAUACCACUCUUUCAGAGCUAGGGUUCUAACGGUCACCCGUCAUCCGGGGACCGGAUAGUAUCAGGUGGGCAGUUUGACUGGGGCGGUCGCCUCCUAAAGGGUAACGGAGGCGCGCAAAGGUUUGCUCAGGCUGGUUGGAAAUCAGCCGACGAGUGUAAAAGCAGAAGCAAGCUUGACUGUGAGACCUACAAGUCGAACAGGGACGAAAGUCGGCUUUAGUGAUCCGACGGUUCUGAGUGGAAGGGCCGUCGCUCAACGGAUAAAAGUUACUCUAAGGAUAACAGGCUGAUCUCCCCCAAGAGUUCACAUCGACGGGGAGGUUUGGCACCUCGAUGUCGGCUCAUCGCAACCUGGGGCUGAAGUCGGUCCCAAGGGUUGGGCUGUUCGCCCAUUAAAGCGGUACGCGAGCUGGGUUCAGAACGUCGUGAGACAGUUCGGUCCAUAUCCGGUGCAUGCGCAGGAAUAUUGAGAGGAUUUCUCCCUAGUACGAGAGGACCGGGAGGAACGCACCUCUGGUGUGCCAGUUAUCGUGCCAACGGUAAACGCUGGGUAGCCAUGUGCGGAGAGGAUAACCGCUGAAAGCAUCUAAGUGGGAAGCCCACCUCAAGAUGAGUAUUCCCAUGGCGUUAGCCAGUAAGGUCACGGGCAGAACACCCGUUGAUAGGCUCUACGUGGAAGCCGGGUAACCGGUGAAGCGGAGGAGUACUAAUAGACCGAGGGCUUGAGU
This 1350-nucleotide ribosomal RNA is filed under the name metagenome. Its description in RNAcentral is "bacterial LSU rRNA". It matches the Rfam family "Bacterial large subunit ribosomal RNA", at positions 1564 to 2925 of the family's 2925-position model. The record is from RNAcentral.